This 93-nucleotide non-coding RNA is filed under the name Moorella sp. (in: firmicutes). Its description in RNAcentral is "Moorella sp. MoCo sequence". It matches the Rfam family "Molybdenum/Tungsten riboswitch aptamer (Moco RNA motif)", at positions 1 to 104 of the family's 135-position model. The record is from RNAcentral. Lineage: Bacteria; Bacillati; Bacillota; Clostridia; Neomoorellales; Neomoorellaceae.
AUGGGAUCUUUUCUCCGAGCCAAAAGGCCUGAGGCCGGCUCUCCGGCUAUGGUCUUUGGCCGCUGGGCAGGACGGGAAACCGCCUUGCCUCCC